This 376-nucleotide ribosomal RNA is filed under the name uncultured bacterium. Its description in RNAcentral is "bacterial SSU rRNA". It matches the Rfam family "Bacterial small subunit ribosomal RNA", at positions 524 to 898 of the family's 1533-position model. The record is from RNAcentral.
UACAGAGGUCUCGAGCGUUAGGCGGAAUCACUGGGCUUAAAGCGUGUGUAGGUGGAUGCCUAAGUACCUUGUGAAAUCCCACAGCUUAACUGUGGAACUGCUUGGUAUACUGGGUGUCUUGAGUCACUCAGGGGCGAGCGGAACAAAUGGUGGAGCGGUGAAAUGCGUAGAUAUCAUUUGGAACGCCAAUGGUGAAAACAGCUCGCUGGGGGUGCACUGACACUGAGACACGAAAGCCAGGGGAGCGAACGGGAUUAGAUACCCCGGUAGUCCUGGCCGUAAACGAUGUCGACUAGAUCGUGGUGGCUCUGACGUCAUCACGGUCGAAGCAAAAGUGCUAAGUCGACCGCCUGGGAAGUACGGUCGCAAGGCUAAA